This 440-nucleotide ribosomal RNA is filed under the name uncultured bacterium. Its description in RNAcentral is "partial 16S ribosomal RNA". It matches the Rfam family "Bacterial small subunit ribosomal RNA", at positions 338 to 795 of the family's 1533-position model. The record is from RNAcentral.
CCUACGGGGGGCAGCAGUGGGGAAUAUUGCACAAUGGGGGAAACCCUGAUGCAGCGACGCCGCGUGAGUGAAGAAGUAUUUCGGUACGUAAAGCUCUAUCAGCAGGGAAGAAAAUGACGGUACCUGACUAAGAAGCCCCGGCUAACUACGUGCCAGCAGCCGCGGUAAUACGUAGGGGGCAAGCGUUAUCCGGAUUUACUGGGUGUAAAGGGAGCGUAGACGGCAGGGCAAGUCUGGAGUGAAAUCCCAUGGCUUAACCAUGGAACUGCUUUGGAAACUGUGCAGCUAGAGUGCAGGAGAGGUAAGCGGAAUUCAUGGUGUAGCGGUGAAAUGCGUAGAUAUUAGGAGGAACACCAGUGGCGAAGGCGGCUUACUGGACUGUAACUGACGUUGAGGCUCGAAAGCGUGGGGAGCAAACAGGAUUAGAUACCCUAGUAGUC